Molecule: ribosomal RNA, 253 nt
Filed under: uncultured bacterium
Lineage: Bacteria
Description: partial 16S ribosomal RNA
Rfam family: Bacterial small subunit ribosomal RNA
Source: RNAcentral
UACGUAGGGGGCGAGCGUUGUCCGGAAUCAUUGGGCGUAAAGGGCACGUAGGCGGCCCCGUAAGUCGAAUGUGAAAUCCUGCAGCUCAACUGCAGAACUGCAUUCGAUACUGCAGGGCUUGAGGAAGGUAGAGGAGAGUGGAAUUCCCGGUGUAGCGGUGGAAUGCGCAGAUAUCGGGAGGAACACCAGCGGCGAAGGCGGCUCGCUGGUCCGUUUCUGACGCUGAGGCGCGAAAGCGUGGGGAGCAAACAGG